Molecule: ribosomal RNA, 301 nt
Filed under: uncultured bacterium
Lineage: Bacteria
Description: partial 16S ribosomal RNA
Rfam family: Bacterial small subunit ribosomal RNA
Source: RNAcentral
CAGCAGCCGCGGUAAUACGAAGGGUGCAAGCGUUACUCGGAAUUACUGGGCGUAAAGUGUGCGUAGGUGGUGGUUUAAGUCCGUUGUGAAAGCCCUGGGCUCAACCUGGGAAUUGCAGUGGAUACUGGGUCACUAGAGUGUGGUAGAGGAUAGUGGAAUUCCCGGUGUAGCAGUGAAAUGCGUAGAGAUCGGGAGGAACAUCAGUGGCGAAGGCGGCCAUCUGGGACAACACUGACGCUGAGGCACGAAAGCGUGGGGAGCAAACAGGAUUAGAUACCCCUGUAGUCCCUGUCUCUUAUAC